Molecule: long non-coding RNA, 1646 nt
Filed under: Homo sapiens (human)
Lineage: Eukaryota; Metazoa; Chordata; Mammalia; Primates; Hominidae
Description: HSALNT0251001
Source: RNAcentral
CGCCCGCCACUACGCCCGGCUAAUUUUUUGUAUUUUUGGUAGAGGUGGGGUUUCACCGUGUUAGCCAGGAUGGUCUCGAUCUCCUGACCUCAUGAUCUGCCUGCCUCGGUCUCCCAAAGUGCUGGGAUUACAGGCGUGAACCACUGCGCCCAGCCAUGUACCACAUUUUCUUUAUCCAAUUCACUGUUGAUGGGCACCUAGAUUGAUUCCAUGUCUUUGCUCUUGUGAAUAGUGCUGUGGUAAACGUGAGUGCAUGCAUCUUUUUGGUAGAAUGAUUUAUUUUAUUUGGAUAUAUACCCAGUAAGGGGAUUGUUGAGUAGAAUGGUAGUUCUAAGUUCUUUGAAAAAUCUCUAAAUGGCUUUUUUUUUUUUUUUUUUUUUGAGACGGAGUCUUGCUCUGUCGCCCAGGCUGGAGUGCAGUGGCAUGAUCUCGGCUCACUGCAACCUCCACCUCCCUGGUUCAAGCAAUUCCCCUGCCUCAGCCUCCCAAGUAGCUGGGACUACAGGCGUGCACCACCACGCCCAGCUCUUUUUUUUUUUUUUUGUAUUUUUAGUAGAGACAGGGUUUCACCACGUUGGCCAGGCUGGUCACGAACUCCUGACCUCAGGCAAUCCGUCCACCUCUGCCUCCCAAAGUGCUGGGAUUACAGGCAUGAGCCACUGUGCCUGGCCCAAAUUGCUUUUUACAGUGGCUGGACUAAUUUAUAUUCCCACUAACAAUAUAUAAGUGUAGGGAGAUGACUUCUUAACCAAAGACCUGAUGUCUAGGAGUUUGCAGCAAUAAUGCAAAUGACAACAACUGUAUUUAAUCAACUGUUAAUACCACCCUGCUGGUGCUUUCUCCAAAGCUUUCAAGUUGCAGCCUCAGCAGAUAAUGAGGUAUGGGUCGUAAUUUUAAGAAAACCACCACCAGAUGAAGAAGCUUGUGUCUGAGGUUAGAAGUGGAAACAGGGAUAGCAGGCAGGAUUGAGGGAAACUGCCCCGGGCUUAGGAUGAGACCAGAGACAGGUUGGCUGCUGUGCGGGAGGGAAGCCACUCGGCUGGAUAGGAUGAUGUAAAGUGCUCCCACAGCGUCUUGUCCACAGGGGGUGCACCACCAGCAUCCUCCUUGGAAAUGCUGGCCACAGGUGCCCUGUGUAGAAGCACAAGUGAGUUGGUGAAGAGCGGAUCCCCACCACCAAGGACUGUGUGGAAGGAAUGAGUCCACAUCCCUGACUGAUUUGGCCGACUCCGUGUGUUCCCUGGGCUGAAGUGAGUGUCCUGCUGGACUCUACAAGGCCACCCUCAGCGUGUCAGUUUCUGGGAAAAAGGCCCUUCCUAGGCAUCACCUCUGGCCGAAGCCUGCCAUCCUAACCUUUGGCUCCUGGCUUCCAGACUUUCUGGGAAGAGAAGGGAAAGGAUUCCUGAUGAAGAGGAUCUAAGCAUAGUCCCUGAUUUGAUAUCCAGUCUCAUUCACAACCUUGCACUGUGUCCUUGGGCCAAAGCUUUGGGCCCACUGAGGAAAAUCAAAAGAAUGAGCUGCCACCAAUUCCCAAAGAUACAUCUCCAAGAGGAAGUGGGGCAGCAGCACCGCCACCGGAACAAGUGUGGGUCUCUCAAGGCUCCAUGAUCUCCAGGCACACGUUCACGAUGCACUGGAUCUCCAGC